UUCCGGUUGAUCCUGCCGGAGGUCACUGCUAUGGGAAUUCGACUAAGCCAUGCAAGUUGAGGGCACCUUUUUAGGAGACCCAGCGAACUGCUCAGUAACACGUGGAUAAUCUGCCCACAGGAUGGGGAUAAUCCUGGGAAACUGGGAAUAAUACCCAAUAGAUCAUUGGUACUGGAAUGUCCUUUGAUCCAAAUGCUUUUCUUACGCCUGUGGAUGAGUCUGCGUCCGAUUAGGCUGUUGUUGGGGUAACGGCCCAACAAACCUAUGAUCGGUACGGGUCGUGAGAGCGAUCGCCCGGAGAUUGGAUCUGAGAUAUGAUCCUAGGCCCUACGGGGUGCAGCAGGCGCGAAAACUUUACAAUGUGGGAAACCAUGAUAAGGGAAUUCCCAGUGUUCCUACAUAGUAGGAACUGUUUGGGUGCGUAAAAAACACCUAAUAGAAAGGGCCGGGUAAGACCGGUGCCAGCCGCCGCGGUAAUACCGGUGGCUCGAGUGGUGGCCGCUAUUAUUGGGUCUAAAGGGUCCGUAGCCGGCUUGAUAAGUUACCUGGAAAAUCCGGUGGCCUAACCAUUGGGCGGCCAGGUGAUACUAUCAGGCUUGGGACUAGGAGAGACCAGAGGUACUCAUGAGGUAGGGGUGGAAUCCUGUAAUCUUAUGAGGACCACCAGUGGCGAAGGCGUCUGGUUAGAAUAGGUCCGACGGUAAUGGACGAAGGCUGGGGGCGCAAACCGGAUUAGAUACCCGGGUAGUCCCAGCAGUAAACGAUGCCAGCUAUGUGUUGCUGAAACCAUGGGUUUCAGCAGUGCCGAAGGGGAGCCGUGAAGCUGGCCACCUGGGAAGUACGGCCGCAAGGCUGAAACUUAAAGGAAUUGGCGGGGGAGUACCACAACCGGUGGAGCCUGCGGUUUAAUUGGAGUCAACGCCGGG
Molecule: ribosomal RNA, 926 nt
Filed under: uncultured archaeon
Lineage: Archaea
Description: bacterial SSU rRNA
Rfam family: Archaeal small subunit ribosomal RNA
Source: RNAcentral